This 903-nucleotide ribosomal RNA is filed under the name Triticum aestivum (bread wheat). RNAcentral's name for it is "partial small subunit ribosomal RNA". Lineage: Eukaryota; Viridiplantae; Streptophyta; Magnoliopsida; Poales; Poaceae. The record is from RNAcentral.
AUGUGGGUGAUGAUCCUCGACAGUAAGGGAGAAGCAGCGGACGCCAUCAGGCGCGCGCAGGUUGGUGUGGAGGCGGAGAGCGGCCGCAAAUUGCGCGUGUUGCACACUUACAACGGCGGCGAAUUCACGGCGGCUGAAUUCGCGUCGUACUGCGCCAAUGAGGGCAUCCAGCGCCACUACUCCGCGUCGUACAGCCCGCAACAAAACGGCGUCGUCGAGCGGCGCAACCAGACGGUUGUGGGGAUGACUCGGGCUCUCCUCAAACAGAGAGGGAUGCCGGCUGUCUUCUGGGGAGAGGCGGUGCUAACGGCCGUCUACAUCCUCAACCGCUCUCCUACUAAGGCACUCGACGGCAGAACUCCGUACGAGGCCUGGCAUGGGCGGAAGCCGGCGGUCUCUCAUUUGCGGGUCUUUGGCUGCCUUGCGUUCGCCAAGGAGCUCGGCCACAUCGGCAAGCUCGACGACAGGAGCACUCCGGGAGUCUUCAUCGGCUACGCGGAGGGCUCAAAGGCCUACCGCAUCCUCGACCCAAAGACACAACGUGUGCGCACAGCGCGAGACGUCGUGUUCAACGAAGGGCGAGGGUGGCAAUGGGACAAGGCGGUGGACGACGGCUCGACGCCGACGUAUGACGACUUCAUUGUCGAGUACGCCCACUUCAAGGAAGCUGGGGAAGCAAGCAGCUCCUCUUCACCGGGCACGUUUACCCCGGCCCCCCAAAACUACAUCGACUCCGGCGCCUACUACGCCGACGACACGACAACCGGCGACGCCGCAUACUCCAGCCCCGGUGGUCGCCACUCCGGGCUCAUCUUCAUCAGCACCAGCUCACGCAGAGCACAACCCGAUGAAGUUCGCUUCCCCGCUCACUCACGACGAGGAGCGUAUCGACGCGUGGCAUGA